RNAcentral lists this ribosomal RNA (760 nucleotides) under uncultured Cytophaga sp. Its description in RNAcentral is "bacterial SSU rRNA". It matches the Rfam family "Bacterial small subunit ribosomal RNA", at positions 528 to 1299 of the family's 1533-position model. Lineage: Bacteria; Pseudomonadati; Bacteroidota; Cytophagia; Cytophagales; Cytophagaceae. The record is from RNAcentral.
AAGGCUACGUUUCGGAUAUUGGGUUUAAGGGUCCGUAGGCGGGCUAAUAAGUCAGAGGUGAAAUCCCACAGCUUAACUGUGGCACUGCCUUUGAUACUGUUAGUCUUGAGUCAUAAUGAAGUAGAUGGAAUGUGUAGUGUAGCGGUGAAAUGCAUAGAUAUUACACAGAACACCGAUUGCGAAGGCAGUCUACUAAUUAUGUACUGACGCUAAUGGACGAAAGCGUGGGUAGCGAACAGGAUUAGAUACCCUGGUAGUCCACGCCGUAAACGAUGGAUACUAGCUGUUGGUUUCACUUCGGUGGAAUCAGUGGCCAAGCAAAAGUGAUAAGUAUCCCACCUGGGGAGUACGUUCGCAAGAAUGAAACUCAAAGGAAUUGACGGGGGCCCGCACAAGCGGUGGAGCAUGUGGUUUAAUUCGAUGAUACGCGAGGAACCUUACCAGGGCUUAAAUGUAGAGUGCAUUAGGUAGAGAUACUUAUUUCUUCGGACUCUCUACAAGGUGCUGCAUGGUUGUCGUCAGCUCGUGCCGUGAGGUGUCAGGUUAAGUCCUAUAACGAGCGCAACCCCUAUCGUUAGUUGCCAGCAAGUAAAGUUGGGGACUCUAGCGAGACUGCCGGUGCAAACCGUGAGGAAGGUGGGGAUGACGUCAAAUCAUCACGGCCCUUACGUCCUGGGCUACACACGUGCUACAAUGGUAGGUACAGCGAGCAGCCACUCCNCGAGGAGGANCAAUCUAUAAGCCUAUCACAGUUCGGAUC